This 275-nucleotide ribosomal RNA is filed under the name uncultured prokaryote. RNAcentral's name for it is "partial 16S ribosomal RNA". It matches the Rfam family "Bacterial small subunit ribosomal RNA", at positions 524 to 800 of the family's 1533-position model. The record is from RNAcentral.
CACGGGGUUGCGAGCGUUGUCCGGAAUUACUAGGCGUAAAGGGCAGGCAGGCGGAUCCAUAAGUUUAUCGUUUAAGGUGUCGGCUUAACCGGCGUAGGGCGGUAGAUACUGUGGAUCUGGGAUGCGGUUGGGGAAGACAGAAUUCCUGGUGUAGCGGUGGAAUGCGCAGAGAUCAGGAGGAAUACCGAAGGCGAAGGCAGUCUUCCAAGCCGUUAUUGACGCUCAACUGCGAAGGUGUGGGUAUCAAACAGGAUUAGAUACCCUGUAGUCCCUGA